UCAUCUGUUGCCAGCAUUUAAGGUGGGGGACUCAGAUGAGACUGCCGGUGACAAACCGGAGGAAGGUGGGGACGACGUCAAGUCAUCAUGGCCCUUAUGUCCUGGGCUACGCACGUGCUACAAUGGCCGGUACAGAGUGAAGCGAAACCGCGAGGUGAGGCAAAACGCAGAAAGCCGGUCUCAGUACGGAUUGGAGUCUGAAACUCGACUUCAUGAAGUUGGAAUCGCUAGUAAUCGCGCAUCAGCAUGGCGCGGUGAAUACGUUCCCGGGCCUU
Molecule: ribosomal RNA, 275 nt
Filed under: uncultured Spirochaeta sp.
Lineage: Bacteria; Pseudomonadati; Spirochaetota; Spirochaetia; Spirochaetales; Spirochaetaceae
Description: partial 16S ribosomal RNA
Rfam family: Bacterial small subunit ribosomal RNA
Source: RNAcentral